Molecule: ribosomal RNA, 225 nt
Filed under: uncultured Nitrobacter sp.
Lineage: Bacteria; Pseudomonadati; Pseudomonadota; Alphaproteobacteria; Hyphomicrobiales; Nitrobacteraceae
Description: partial 16S ribosomal RNA
Rfam family: Bacterial small subunit ribosomal RNA
Source: RNAcentral
UCCCCUAGCAAAUCUCAAAAAACCGUCUCAGUUCGGAUUGGGCUCUGCAACUCGAGCCCAUGAAGUUGGAAUCGCUAGUAAUCGUGGAUCAGCAUGCCACGGUGAAUACGUUCCCGGGCCUUGUACACACCGCCCGUCACACCAUGGGAGUUGGCUUUACCCGAAGGCGUUUCGCUAACCGCAAGGAGGCAGGCGACCACGGUAGGGUCAGCGACUGGGGUGAAG